RNAcentral lists this ribosomal RNA (451 nucleotides) under uncultured Gammaproteobacteria bacterium. Its description in RNAcentral is "bacterial SSU rRNA". It matches the Rfam family "Bacterial small subunit ribosomal RNA", at positions 1077 to 1532 of the family's 1533-position model. The record is from RNAcentral. Lineage: Bacteria; Pseudomonadati; Pseudomonadota; Gammaproteobacteria.
UGGGUAGUCCGCACGAGCGCACCUUUUCCUUAUUUGCCAGCGGGUUAAGCCGGGAACUCUAAGGAUACUGCCAGUGACAAACUGGAGGAAGGCGGGGACGACGUCAAGUCAUCAUGGCCCUUACGACCAGGGCUACACACGUGCUACAAUGGUCGGUACAAAGGGUUGCUACCUAGCGAUAGGAUGCUAAUCUCAAAAAGCCGAUCGUAGUCCGGAUUGGAGUCUGCAACUCGACUCCAUGAAGUCGGAAUCGCUAGUAAUCGCGGAUCAGAAUGCCGCGGUGAAUACGUUCCCGGGCCUUGUACACACCGCCCGUCACACCAUGGGAAUUUGUUGCACCAGAAGUAGGUAGUCUAACCGCAAGGAGGACGCUUACCACGGUGUGGCCGAUGACUGGGGUGAAGUCGUAACAAGGUAGCCGUAGGGGAACCUGCGGCUGGAUCACCUCCUU